UGGGUUUGGCACCCCACCCUUUAGGCUACGCGCCCCAGCAUUUUUUUUUUAUUCCAAAACUACCCAUCGGUAAAUGAUUUGCCGAUGUCAAAAUACCAAUCGGUAAAUCAUUUACCGUUAUUGUUCCUCAGUAUGAACACCUUCAUCCCAUUACCCAGAACACGAAGAACAAUAUCGGUUAAUAAUUAACCGAUUCUAAUAUUGUAUCGGUAUAUCAUUUACCGAUUUGUAAUCUGGAAGUUUGAUCACCUUUUCACCAUUACUCCUCCCUCCACCAACCCCUCCACCAUUACUCCUCCCUCCAACAACCCCCCACCAGCCCCCCAUAACUCGCCCAAACUACCUUAUUCUCCAUUACUCCACUCCUCCCUCACAUUUCACCUUCCCACCACCACCACCAUCUCCACAUUUCCACCACCACCACCACCAACACCACCACCACCAAGGGAAAGCUUUUAACUUCUGGGAUGACAGAGUCAUUUUUCUUUGGUGAAUCACAAUUGAUACAUGCUGCUGGAUUGGAAAAUGAUAAUCCAGAGGAGCAACCAUCACUAGCUGAACCUCCGAUUAUAUCUAUAGAUGUCUCUCAUUUGUAUCAUACUGAUCAGGUACUCAUUGCACAAAUUUUUGCAUGCUUUGUUUGCUUUGUUUAUGCCUUGUUUUAUGCCUUAUGCCUUGUUUAUCCUGAAACAGCGUUUCCCUUUGAAAGAUGAUCUUAUGAAAUGGGUUCGCGACAUUUCUAUGGCAAAUAAUUUUGUUUUGGUGACAACAAAGUCUGAUAGUGGUGCGAAGGGAAGAAAAGAAUAUGUCAUUCUGGGGUGUGAGAAGCAUGGUGCGUAUAUUCCCUACAGAGAACCGGAUCUUGUUGAAGGAACGUCAACACAAAAGACAGGUUGUCCUUUUAGGCUAAAAGGACGACGUACGAAAGAUGAUAAAGGUUGGUGGUUGAAGGUGAUGGACGGUAGACUAAAAAAAUAGAUGGAGGAAAACUAAAAAAAACUGGCUUAAAAAAACUGGCUUAAAAAAACUGCCUUAAACUGCCUUAAACUGGUUUAGAAUCGGGAAAUGUUUUCCCAUUACAGAAUCGGAAAAACAUUUUCCAUUACAGAAUCGGAAAAUGUUUUUCCGAUUUUACAGUAACCCAGAAACCAGAACUGGAAACGACCCACUCGUGCCCAUGACCGUUUCAUGCCAUUUCAGUCAAUAAAACCUACCUCUAAUCAAUAAUCAACUACCCUAGUGUUCAACAUUCACCUAAUAAUCCAUCAACUACCUCUAAUCAUCAAUCAAUGUGAGAGAAUCAAUAAAAAUGGAACUUACCUUUUGAAUGUAUUGGAAUGGGAGUUCCGGAGCUUUGAGGAAGCUUUGAUGAUGAUGGGACCGAACGCAAGUUUGGGAGAGAUUUGAAGAGGGAGUGAUUUGGGGAGGGAAAUGAGUUUUGAAAAUUAUGUUCCAAAACCUAUCUGAUGCUGUUAUAUCAAUACGAAUCGGUAAAUGAUAAACCGAUACGUAUCGGAAAAUCAUUUACCGAUAUUAAUCCUGAGGGUUUCCGGUAAUUUCCCCACUUUAAGUGGGGCGGGAAGCCUAAGGGCUGGGGUGUUAAACCCAAUUCCCCCCCCCAAACACAGUACCCACCAUUUCAUCCUCUCCACUGUCGAAGCGCUGCUUCCUCUCCACCCUCGACGUCGACGACAUCUCUCCGUUCCUCGCCGUCAACAUCUCCUUGUGCGUGCCUUCUUCUCAAACCGUGACACAAACCUUCCUUGUGUUGCGAUUUGGAGAGAAAUCUCGUAUCAUCCUCUCAAACCCUUGUUCGAGUUCGACAGCUCUUCCUUGGAUUCCAAAAACGAGUUUGUUCAAAGCCUAAUUUUGAAGCUGCAAGUGUUGAUCUGAAUCCUUGUUUCGCUUAAGCAACAAAAGAAUUCAGCAGUACCGCGUGAUAAGCAGUGCAUCAACUUGGCUGUAGCCUCGUUUCUUUGUUCUCGUGGCUGGACUUGGAGCUUCUAUAUUACAUUGAGCAAAAAAUCGAAGCUGAAACAGAGUUAGGGACUUUAACCUAACCCUCAAUCACUCUAGGGGGCAUUUGGUAGAAGGGAUCUUUAAAGAUUCCCGGGUAAGUUAGGUUGGGAAUGUAACAUUCUCAUGUUUGGUACAAGUUUCAGAAAAAAUAUUCCCGGGUAUUGUGGAUUCCCAGGCAUGUAAUUUACAUUGAUUUUCUCCAAACUUCAUUCCCAUGUUCAAGGAUGGGUAUCUUGCAUUCCCAUGGGAAUGUAAGUUAUUUCCCACUAACUUUUAUUUUUACUUCAAAUUUUAUAUUUUUAAAUAUUUUAAUUAAAUAAAUUUUAAAAACAUACCUGGGAAUUGAAUUUAUCAACCAAACACUUUUUUAAAAGAUGCCUGGGAAUAACAUUCACAUCAUAAUAUCCCUGGGAAUCCACUUACUCGGACACUUUAUGAAACCCCCACACACAAACGUAACAGUACUCCACCGUUUCAUAUUCUCUCAAAUCGACGAAGUUGUCUGCGCCUCUCUGUUCCUCACCGUUGACGAACCUUCGUGCGCGCCGUCCUCGCAAACCCUCACGCAAACCUUUUAAGUGCCGUCGAUCAUGGGCGAAAUCUUGUUUCAUCCUCGCAAACCCUUCUUCGAGUUUGACUACGCAUCCCUGGACUCCAGAAACGGGUUCAUUCCAAGCCUAAUUUUGAAGGUUUGUAUUUGGGCUCUUUCCAGUUUUAUAUUGAUAUGUGCUAUGCCUCGAUGCAAAUUUACAAUCGCUUGUGAAUUCUGUUGUUUAAGGAAUGUGAGUUACAUUGUUAUUUGUCAUUUGGGCUUAGAUAAAGAAUGAAUGUCUGGCAGAAUCUCUCGCCCUGGUAGAGGGAAUGAUCCUACUUUGUUGUACUGCUCACUGACCUCAGUCUCUUUUUGCUUUUGUUUUCUAAUUUGGUUAAGCCCUCUUUGAAAUGGCUCAUGGGCGGGUUUGGGGUUGGUGGUUUGGGGAACAUGCAGCAACCUACGCUUGCCGACUCUGAAAGUGCCAAUUACAACCAGAACACCUCUGCCUGGAAUGUUUCCUUGUUUCUCAAAAUUGAAUUUGAUCCAUAUUGGUUCAUAUUGUUUUUUGGAUGUCUGAUUAUUUAUUUGAAGUAAUGAAUGUCUACCAUCUUGAUCACUGAAGGAAAACUAAUCUGGUGUUUGAACUCUGGUUGUUUUGUGUAUUCUUUCCUCUAAUUUUUGGGAGCUAUAGA
Lotus japonicus is the source of this 3246-nucleotide long non-coding RNA. RefSeq lists it as uncharacterized. The record is from RefSeq and is a predicted model, not a curated record. Lineage: Eukaryota; Viridiplantae; Streptophyta; Magnoliopsida; Fabales; Fabaceae. The transcript has 4 exons.